Long non-coding RNA from Nymphaea colorata (pocket water lily), 911 nucleotides. RefSeq lists it as uncharacterized. The record is from RefSeq and is a predicted model, not a curated record. The transcript has 2 exons. NCBI's taxonomy places the organism in Eukaryota, Viridiplantae, Streptophyta, Magnoliopsida, Nymphaeales, Nymphaeaceae.
ACUGCCCCUCCAGCCUAAAACCCCGAAACCCUAAACCCUAUUUAUGGGUCGAAGGGGUGCCGCCGCUUGCAGUCGCAGACUCUUCCCAUACUCGUUUCUCCUUUUCCUCUUCCCUCACCCCAAAUCCCUUCCUCUCUCCUUCCCUUCGCUCUUUGCUAAACAGAUUGGUGGGAGUUGAAGGUUGUUUUUGCCCUCUCCUGUGUUUUUUGUGAUGGGUCUCGGCAUAACAAAAUUCGCGUUCAGUUCAAAAGCUAUUUCUCACCUCAUCGCAAUGGGAACUCGUGAUGGGUAUUGCAUAGACAUUAAUGACCACCUGUUUCUUGUGUUUCAUGUGGCUCUUCUCACUCUGAAGAUGCAAAUCUGAUUUUUUAUCAAAAUUUCUUUUCAAAUUUCCUUUUGUUGUAUUUCUUCACAUUAUGGGCAAGAAACCAUUGCAAUCAAGCGUUGGAUGGUUGUUAAUCUGUUUUCUCUAUUGAGGAAAUGACAUUUAGCUGUCUUAAAAAUGGGUGUAUUAUGUACAUGAAUUCGCCGUCUUACACAACUUCUGAAGAACAAGUCAAUUGUGUCUUAAAUUAAAAGUCCGAGUUGCAAUAUUUUGACAAAAAGAGUUGCUCAGAUUGUACUUGAGCAUCUUUUAUUACUGUCCUCCGAUCUGUUUCCCUUCGCUUGAUAGCAUCUGCGAGCCAGUCAUCACUCUCUCCCGUGGGACUUCCCGAUGACUCUAUGCUGCUUGAAGAAGUGGAACAUAAAAAGGUGGCUUCUUGCAUGAUUCGUAAGUCAAAUAUGUCCGGUUUGAUUGAAAUUAGCUCUCGUUUCAAAUAUGUAGUUUUGAAAGAGUGCAUUUAUGUUUCUGCUAAUGGCUUUUGUUUCGUCAUUGCUAUGAAUGAAAUACUUUUGGAUAAUUUCUACAA